UCUUGGUAAGUUGUUCUCAAGUAGUAGGCUGCAGCUCUGCUCUGCUGUCUGUCGUCAAGGAUCAAAAAAAGAAAUACAGCCACACAGGAGAGGCAAAAUAUAUUGUGCUGCUCGUCCUGGUUGUCUUUUAGGUAUUUGAAGUCUGUCAUCGUUUUAUCGCGUUUCCCUUCAGUCUUAUCCUUUGGAGACCAAAGAAUCCUAAUUCCUUUGGCCCUUCUUGUAGGUCAUGGCAGACCUUCAAAUCCAUUGCAGUGAAAAAGCGAGCCUGCAGUAUGUCAUGCGUAUAACAAGCCGAGCUGCAGGAGACGAAAGACUGCAUAAAAACCACCAGGCUGAAGUCCUCCGGUCAUCUUGUCCUCCAUGCGCUGCUUAGAAAGGAUGGAUUCGAGUUGCAUGCCACCAGUGGGAAAGGCUUAUGGCGUAGUGGAGGAGGAUAGCGGAGUGAUGGUGUGUUUCUUACCUUCUCUUCAAUCUCUCCAUCUUUGUACUUUGCUCUGAGCUUCUACCAGCAGUCUCCUGCAGGUCUCAGAGGCUUUGUUUCUGCUUGAAAUACAACACCUGGUGAAGUCCUCUUGACUUCAAGACUUCGUUACCUGUGCUGCCUUAACGCAGGUCAUCUGCCUGUUGUCAUACCACAAAAUAUAGGUAAUUAUAUCUUCAUCUAAGUUACAAAACCUGAAGUUUCUGACUCUUCUAAGAAGUAUGUUCUGACAUCCUUCCCUGAGAGAUGGUGAAGUGAGCAAUAGACUUAACGCUUCGUCUGUCAGCCCUUCUUGGUAUCUCCUGCACAGGAUGAAACCGCGAGCAAAAUUACCACCUUCAUGAAAUCUGAAAUGUCUUCCUUUUUCUGAGCAGUUAAAGUUAACACAUUGCUAAGUGUUAUUCUCUCAUAAGAUGCCUUUCCAAAAGCAUUUAAUGAACUAGAAUUGAAAGCUAACAGAGUAGUAGUUGAAUUUUACUUUUUUCUCUGUUUAAAAUAUUCAUUUUCCUUUUUACUCUAGCUCACAUCCAUACAUCAUUUUGCCUUACUACUCUAAAAUGGGAAUAACUGCGUGCAACCCUGAGAAGCAUUCUUGUUAUUUUUGCCUUGCUAUCGCAGAAUUCAAGAUACAUUGUAUCAAAGACACUAUAUAAAAAGCAAAUUAAAACUGAAUUGCAGUAAGGCUACUAAAAUAAUUCAUUGCCCUUUGCAGAGUUUACUACUGAGUAUGCUGUGUGGCGUGAAUGGACAAUUAAAUGCAAAGAAUUGGUAUUAAUGUGCUGGUUUGUAAUAAUUAUUGAAUGUGUAUUUAUGUAUACCUCAUUCUGUAUGUUAAUUGCAAAUAAGACUGGUGACUCG
Molecule: non-coding RNA, 1339 nt
Organism: Struthio camelus australis
Lineage: Eukaryota; Metazoa; Chordata; Aves; Struthioniformes; Struthionidae
Source: RefSeq, a predicted model, not a curated record